GACGAACGCUGGCGGCGUGCCUAACACAUGCAAGUCGAACGGGGUCCAUGGGAGCUUGCUCCCGGAAGACCUAGUGGCGAACGGGUGAGUAACACGUGAGAAACCUGCCCUGGAGUGGGGAAUAACUCGGGGAAACUCGAGCUAAUACCGCAUACCCUCGGAUGGUCGCAUGGCCGACCGAGGAAAGAUUCAUCGCUUCAGGAGGGUCUCGCGGCCUAUCAGCUAGUUGGUGGGGUAACGGCCUACCAAGGCAACGACGGGUAGCUGGUUUGAGAGAACGAUCAGCCACACUGGGACUGAGACACGGCCCAGACUCCUACGGGGAGCAGCAGGUGGGAAUCUUGCGCAAGUGGGACGAAAGCCUGACGCAGCAACGCCGCGUGCGGAUGAC
Molecule: ribosomal RNA, 391 nt
Filed under: uncultured bacterium
Lineage: Bacteria
Description: bacterial SSU rRNA
Rfam family: Bacterial small subunit ribosomal RNA
Source: RNAcentral